UUCAGACUNAAGAAGGCGUAAGAUAUGGCUGUGCCUUCGGGAACUUUGAGACAGGUGCUGCAUGGCUGUCGUCAGCUCGUGUUGUGAAAUGUUGGGUUAAGUCCCGCAACGAGCGCAACCCUUAUCCGUUUGUUGCCAGCGGUUCGGCCGGGAACUCAAAGGAGACUGCCAGUGAUAAACUGGAGGAAGGUGGGGAUGACGUCAAGUCAUCAUGGCCCCUUACGAGUAGGGCUACACACGUGCUACAAUGGCGUAUACAGAGGGAAGCAAUAUGGCGACAUGGAGCAAAUCUCACAAAGUACGUCUAAGUCCGGAUUGGAGUCUGCAACUCGACUCCAUGAAGUCGGAAUCGCUAGUAAUCGCAAAUCAAAUGUUGCGGUGAAUACGUUCCCGGGUCUUGUACACC
This 406-nucleotide ribosomal RNA is filed under the name uncultured bacterium. RNAcentral's name for it is "bacterial SSU rRNA". It matches the Rfam family "Bacterial small subunit ribosomal RNA", at positions 982 to 1387 of the family's 1533-position model. The record is from RNAcentral.